This 497-nucleotide ribosomal RNA is filed under the name uncultured bacterium. RNAcentral describes it as "partial 16S ribosomal RNA". It matches the Rfam family "Bacterial small subunit ribosomal RNA", at positions 29 to 507 of the family's 1533-position model. The record is from RNAcentral.
AAUGAACGCUGGCGGCAUGCCUAACACAUGCAAGUCGAACGGCAACACAGUAAGCUCGUUCUCUUGCGGGUGGCGGCUGGCGGACGUGUGAGGAAUACAUCACAAUCUUCUUUUUCUGGGAUGAUAUCGUAGGGAAGGAUACGCUAAUACCUCAUAUGACCUACGGCUUGAAUCAGUAGAGCUUCGCACCUUUCCUGACUCUAUUAGCUGAUUCCGUGUCGGAUUGGCUAGUUGGUAAGGUCACGGCCAACCAAGGCAACGAUGCGUAGCCGAUCUGAGAGGGUGAUCAGCCACACUGGAACUGAGACACGGUCCAGACUCCUACGGGAGGCAGCAGUGGGGAAUAUUGCACAAUGGGCGAAAGCCUGACCGAGCAACGCCGCGUGGGUGAAGAAGGUCUUCGGGUUGUAAAGCUCUUUUGUUGGGAAAGAAAAGAAGCAGGAUAAUACAUCGAUGUUCUGACGGUACCCAAAGAAUAAGCACCGGCUAACUUCGUG